This 500-nucleotide ribosomal RNA is filed under the name uncultured bacterium. RNAcentral's name for it is "partial 16S ribosomal RNA". It matches the Rfam family "Bacterial small subunit ribosomal RNA", at positions 30 to 523 of the family's 1533-position model. The record is from RNAcentral.
AUUGAACGCUGGCGGCAUGCCUUACACAUGCAAGUCGAACGGCAGCACGGGAGCAAUCCUGGUGGCGAGUGGCGAACGGGUGAGUAAAGUAUCGGAACGUGCCCAGUCGUGGGGGAUAACGUAGCGAAAGUUACGCUAAUACCGCAUACGAUCUAUGGAUGAAAGCGGGGGAUCGCAAGACCUCGCGCGAUUGGAGCGGCCGAUAUCAGAUUAGGUAGUUGGUGGGGUAAAGGCUCACCAAGCCGACGAUCUGUAGCUGGUCUGGGAGGACGACCAGCCACACUGGGACUGAGACACGGCCCAGACUCCUACGGGAGGCAGCAGUGGGGAAUUUUGGACAAUGGGCGAAAGCCUGAUCCAGCCAUGCCGCGUGCAGGAUGAUGGCCUUCGGGUUGUAAACUGCUUUUGUACGGAACGAAAAGGUUUGGCCUAAUAAGCUGAGCUCAUGACGGUACCGUAAGAAUAAGCACCGGCUAACUACGUGCCAGCCGCCGCAGUAA